Molecule: transfer RNA, 74 nt
Filed under: Butyricicoccus intestinisimiae
Lineage: Bacteria; Bacillati; Bacillota; Clostridia; Eubacteriales; Butyricicoccaceae
Description: tRNA-Gly
Rfam family: tRNA
About the family: Transfer RNA (tRNA) molecules are approximately 80 nucleotides in length.
Source: RNAcentral
GCAGAUAUAGUUUAUUGGUAGAACUCCGGCUUCCCAAGCCGGAAAGACGGGUUCGAUUCCCGUUGUCUGCUCCA